RNAcentral lists this ribosomal RNA (1336 nucleotides) under metagenome. RNAcentral describes it as "bacterial SSU rRNA". It matches the Rfam family "Archaeal small subunit ribosomal RNA". The record is from RNAcentral.
GAUAAUUUGCCCUUUGGUUAGGGAUACUGUCGCGAAAGUGACGUUAAUACCUGAUAGGAGAUUGAUAUUGGAACAUACUUUCUCUGAAACGUAAGGCCAAAGGAUAAGUCAGCGGCUGAUUAGGUUGAUGGCGAGGUAAAGGCUCACCAUGCCUAUGAUCAGUAGGGGGGAUGAGAGUCCUAGCCCCGAGAAGGGCACUGAGACACUGGCCCUAGCCCUAAGGGGUGCAGCAGCUGCGAAACCUUUACAAUGCACGAAAGUGUGAUAAGGGGAUCUCAAGUGCUUUACUAAGGUAAAGCUUUUGUCGAGUGAAAAAAGCUCGGCGAAUAAGUGAUGGGCAAGACCGGUGCCAGCCGCCGCGGUAACCCCGGCGUCACAAGUGGCGACCACAGUUAUUGGGUCUAAAGGGUCCGUAGCCGGUUUUGUAAAUCUCUUGUGAAACUGUUGGGCUUAACCUAACAACGAGCAAGAGAAACUGCAGAACUUGGAACCGGGAGGGGGCAGAAGUAUUCCAGGGGGAACGGUAAAAUGUGUUAAUCCCUGGAGGACUACCUGUGGCGAAGGCGUCUGCCUAGAACGGAUUCGACGGUGAUGGACGAAGGCUAGGGGAGCAAAAAGGAUUAGAUACCCUAGUAGUCCUAGCAGUAAACGCUGCGAGCUAUGUGUUGCAUGUUCUUAGUGGACAUGCAGUGCCUGAGUGAAGACGUUAAGCUCGCCACCUGGGAAGUACGGUCGCAAGAUUGAAACUUAAAGGGAUUGGCGGGGGCUCACUACAAGGGGUGCGGCGUGCGGUUUAAUUGGAUUCUACGCCGGAAAUCUCACCAGGGGCGACGGCAGAAUGAAGGUCAGAUUAACGGUCUUACCUAACAAGCCGAGAGGAGGUGCAUGGCCGUCGUCAGUUCGUGCUGUGAAGUGUCCUGUUAAGUCAGGUAACGAACACGACCCACAUCUAUAUUUGCCACCAUCUCAGCGAUGAGGAAUGGGCACAAUAUAGGGACUGCCUUGGAAACGAGGAGGAAGGUGUGGGCAACGAUAGGUCAGUAUGCCCCGAAUCUCCUGGGCUACACGCGCGCAACAAUGGUGGAGACAAUGGGAUGCGACUCUGAAAAGAAAAGCCAACCCUCUAAACUCCAUCUUAGUUCGGAUUGAGGAUUGCAACUCAUCCUCAUGACGCCGGAAUCCCUAGUAAUCGGAAUUCAACACGUUCCGGUGAAUAUGUCCCUGAGCCUUGCACACACCGCCCAUCAAAACCAACCGAGCAGGGUCUAGGUGAGGUUUAGUUUUUUGACUAAUUCGAACCUGGGUUCAGUAAGGUGGGUUAAGUUGUCUCAAGGUA